UGGUCCAAUGGUUAGGACUUGGUACUUCCACUUCUGUGACCCAGGUUCAAUCCCUGG
RNAcentral lists this transfer RNA (57 nucleotides) under Ovis aries (sheep). It matches the Rfam family "tRNA", at positions 8 to 63 of the family's 71-position model. Rfam says of the family: Transfer RNA (tRNA) molecules are approximately 80 nucleotides in length. Lineage: Eukaryota; Metazoa; Chordata; Mammalia; Artiodactyla; Bovidae. The record is from Rfam by way of RNAcentral.